CUAACACAUGCAAGUCGAGCGGAAACGAUGGGAGCUUGCUCCCAGGCGUCGAGCGGCGGACGGGUGAGUAACACGUGGGAAUCUGCCCAUUAGUGGGGGAUAACUCGGGGAAACUCGAGCUAAUACCGCAUAAUCCCUACGGGGGAAAGCAGGGGAUUUUCGGACCUUGCGCUGAUGGAUGAGCCCGCGUCGGAUUAGCUUGUUGGUGGGGUAAUGGCCCACCAAGGCGACGAUCCGUAACUGGUCUGAGAGGAUGGCCAGUCACACCGGUACUGAGACACGGCCCGGACUCCUACGGGAGGCAGCAGUGGGGAAUCUUGGACAAUGGGCGCAAGCCUGAUCCAGCCAUGCCGCGUGUGUGAAGAAGGCCUUCGGGUUGUAAAGCACUUUCAGUAGGGAGGAAGGCUUUGGGUUAAUACCCUGGAGUACUUGACGUUACCUACAGAAGAAGCACCGGCUAAUUUCGUGCCAGCAACCGCGGUAAUACGAAAGGUGCGAGCGUUAAUCGGAAUUACUGGCGUAAAGCGCGCGUAGGCGGUGUGUUAAGUCGGAUGUGAAAGCCCAGGGCUCAACCUUGGAAUUGCAUCCGAUACUGGCACGCUAGAGUGCAGUAGAGGGAGGUGGAAUUUCCGGUGUAGCGGUGAAAUGCGUAGAGAUCGGAAGGAACACCAGUGGCGAAGGCGGCCUCCUGGACUGACACUGACGCUGAGGUGCG
This 715-nucleotide ribosomal RNA is filed under the name Alcanivorax sp. K461. RNAcentral describes it as "bacterial SSU rRNA". It matches the Rfam family "Bacterial small subunit ribosomal RNA", at positions 48 to 755 of the family's 1533-position model. The record is from RNAcentral. Lineage: Bacteria; Pseudomonadati; Pseudomonadota; Gammaproteobacteria; Oceanospirillales; Alcanivoracaceae.